This 465-nucleotide ribosomal RNA is filed under the name Vreelandella stevensii. RNAcentral's name for it is "partial 16S ribosomal RNA". It matches the Rfam family "Bacterial small subunit ribosomal RNA", at positions 338 to 795 of the family's 1533-position model. Lineage: Bacteria; Pseudomonadati; Pseudomonadota; Gammaproteobacteria; Oceanospirillales; Halomonadaceae. The record is from RNAcentral.
CCUACGGGGGGCUGCAGUGGGGAAUAUUGGACAAUGGGGGCAACCCUGAUCCAGCCAUGCCGCGUGUGUGAAGAAGGCCCUCGGGUUGUAAAGCACUUUCAGUGAGGAAGAACGCCUGGUGGUUAAUACCCAUCAGGAAAGACAUCACUCACAGAAGAAGCACCGGCUAACUCCGUGCCAGCAGCCGCGGUAAUACGGACGGUGCGAGCGUUAAUCGGAAUUACUGGGCGUAAAGCGCGCGUAGGUGGCUUGAUAAGCCGGUUGUGAAAGCCCCGGGCUCAACCUGGGAACGGCAUCCGGAACUGUCAAGCUAGAGUGCAGGAGAGGAAGGUAGAAUUCCCGGUGUAGCGGUGAAAUGCGUAGAGAUCGGGAGGAAUACCAGUGGCGAAGGCGGCCUUCUGGACUGACACUGACACUGAGGUGCGAAAGCGUGGGUAGCAAACAGGAUUAGAUACCCUGGUAGUC